Astatotilapia calliptera (eastern happy) is the source of this 718-nucleotide long non-coding RNA. The record is from Ensembl. NCBI's taxonomy places the organism in Eukaryota, Metazoa, Chordata, Actinopteri, Cichliformes, Cichlidae.
UCUCAAUGGGUUUAUGCUGGUCAUGGCCAGGUUGUCAUACUUCAGAGGCAAAGAGGCUUUGAUGGAGCAGCUUUUGGCUUAACAGCACAGCCGCCGGGAAUCCGUCAGACAAACCCUUUCCUGGAACAUCUGAGGCACGAUCUAAAACAUGACUGGCCAAGAUUUCAACUUUCCCCGUGCUUCUGAGUGGGAUUCACACCUCGCCUGAAUGAGGAAGCUUGUUUAGUAUUUUUUUAGUCCUGGUCCUGCACUGGUGUCUGUCAGCUUAACAAUUUGCAGAGAGAGGGACUGUGGAAACUCAGCCUGUUCAGAGGCUAUGGAGUCCUCCAAAAAGCCAGCAGCACAUAGCCCGAUGGCGACGAUACUUGCUGUAGCCCUGAGAUGGACAAGGUAUACAGGGAGUCCUUCGCCCAGUGACAGCAGGACAAGCAGUGGAUGGAUGGAUGGACAAACGGACCUUUAAGCCUAGAUGGUACAAAGGACCCUAGUAUGGAGAUGACCUGGAUGGUGGAGCCCUUCGUGCCUCUCAGAAGCAUUUUCAGCACCUAAAAGUACCUCAGAUUUCAAAGGCUGAUAUGAGUCCCAGAUUUCUGCUCACAUUUCUCUUUGAGCAGCAGUUGCACGCCGCCACAUCGCCACUCUGUCCCCCCAUCUGUUCCUGUCCCUUCCUGUUUUACAGCACACUGUCCUUGGAUAGCCUGAUAGGUUCUUAAAGUCC